UACGGGGGGGGCAAGCGUUGUUCGGAAUUACUGGGCGUAAAGGCUCGUAGGCGGCCAACUAAGUCGGAUGUGAAAUCCCCAGGCUUAACCUGGGAACUGCAUCCGAUACUGGAUGGCUUGAAUCCGGGAGAGGGAUGCGGAAUUCCAGGUGUAGCGGUGAAAUGCGUAGAUAUCUGGAGGAACACCGGUGGCGAAGGCGGCAUCCUGGACCGGCAUUGACGCUGAGGAGCGAAAGCCAGGGGAGCAAACGGG
This 252-nucleotide ribosomal RNA is filed under the name uncultured bacterium. RNAcentral's name for it is "partial 16S ribosomal RNA". It matches the Rfam family "Bacterial small subunit ribosomal RNA", at positions 524 to 776 of the family's 1533-position model. The record is from RNAcentral.